This 72-nucleotide transfer RNA is filed under the name Candidatus Pacearchaeota archaeon CG10_big_fil_rev_8_21_14_0_10_35_13. RNAcentral describes it as "tRNA-His". It matches the Rfam family "tRNA". From Rfam's summary of the family: Transfer RNA (tRNA) molecules are approximately 80 nucleotides in length. The record is from RNAcentral. Lineage: Archaea; Nanobdellati.
GCGGAUGUAAUAUAGUGGUUAUUAUGCGCGGUUGUGGUCCGCGUGACGGGAGUUCGAUUCUCCCCUUCCGCC